RNAcentral lists this ribosomal RNA (742 nucleotides) under Nocardiopsis sp. 11704. Its description in RNAcentral is "bacterial SSU rRNA". It matches the Rfam family "Bacterial small subunit ribosomal RNA", at positions 56 to 803 of the family's 1533-position model. Lineage: Bacteria; Bacillati; Actinomycetota; Actinomycetes; Streptosporangiales; Nocardiopsidaceae. The record is from RNAcentral.
UGCAGUCGAGCGGUAAGGCCCUUCGGGGUACACGAGCGGCGAACGGGUGAGUAACACGUGAGCAACCUGCCCCUGACUCCGGGAUAAGCGGUGGAAACGCCGUCUAAUACCGGAUACGACCCUCCACCUCAUGGUGGUGGGUGGAAAGUUUUUCGGUCGGGGAUGGGCUCGCGGCCUAUCAGCUUGUUGGUGGGGUAACGGCCUACCAAGGCGAUUACGGGUAGCCGGCCUGAGAGGGCGACCGGCCACACUGGGACUGAGACACGGCCCAGACUCCUGCGGGAGGCAGCAGUGGGGAAUAUUGCGCAAUGGGCGAAAGCCUGACGCAGCGACGCCGCGUGGGGGAUGACGGCCUUCGGGUUGUAAACCUCUUUUACCACUCACGCAGGCUCCACGUUUUCGUGGGGUUGACGGUAGGUGGGGAAUAAGGACCGGCUAACUACGUGCCAGCAGCCGCGGUAAUACGUAGGGUCCGAGCGUUGUCCGGAAUUAUUGGGCGUAAAGAGCUCGUAGGCGGCGUGUCGCGUCUGCUGUGAAAGACCGGGGCUUAACCCCGGUUCUGCAGUGGAUACGGGCAUGCUAGAGGUAGGUAGGGGAGACUGGAAUUCCUGGUGUAGCGGUGAAAUGCGCAGAUAUCAGGAGGAACACCGGUGGCGAAGGCGGGUCUCUGGGCCUUACCUGACGCUGAGGAGCGAAAGCAUGGGGAGCGAACAGGAUUAGAUACCCUGGUAGUCCAUGCCGU